Molecule: ribosomal RNA, 440 nt
Filed under: uncultured bacterium
Lineage: Bacteria
Description: partial 16S ribosomal RNA
Rfam family: Bacterial small subunit ribosomal RNA
Source: RNAcentral
CCUACGGGUGGCAGCAGUGGGGAAUAUUGCACAAUGGGGGAGACCCUGAUGCAGCCACGCCGCGUGAGUGAAGAAGUAUCUCGGUAUGUAAAGCUCUAUCAGCAGGGAAGAAAAUGACGGUACCUGUUUAAGAAGCCCCGGCUAACUACGUGCACGCAGCCGGGGUAAUACGUAGGGGGCAAGAGUUAUCCGGAUUUACUGGGGGUAAAGGGAGAGUAGUCGGCAGCACAAGUCUGGAGUGAAAUGGCGGGGCUUAACCCCGGAACUGCUUUGGAAACUGUGCAGCUAGAGUGCAGGAGAGGUAAGUGGAAGUCCUAGUGUAACGGUUAAAUGCCUAGAUAUUAGGAGGAACCCCAGUUGCGAUGGCGGCUUACUGGACUGUAACUGACGUUGAGGCUCGAAAGCGUGGGGAGCAAACAGGAUUAGAUACCCGAGUAGUC